Molecule: unclassified non-coding RNA, 207 nt
Filed under: Hevea brasiliensis (rubber tree)
Lineage: Eukaryota; Viridiplantae; Streptophyta; Magnoliopsida; Malpighiales; Euphorbiaceae
Source: RNAcentral
AAUUGUCAAACAAAUCAAUGACAAUACAUAUGUUGUUGAUUUCCCGGAUAGCAUGGAAAUUUAGUGUACUUUUAAUGCAGCUGAUUUGUAUCCAUACUAUUCCAUGGAUGAGCCUUUGUAUCCUCCUGAUGACUCAAACUCAAGGUCGAGUUUUUCCCAAGUGGAGGAAACUGAUGUGGAAUAUAUUAGUGAUAAUUUUAUUGAAAA